UACGAGGGGGGCGAGCGUUGUUCGGAAUUAUUGGGCGUAAAGGGUGCGUAGGCGGUUCCGCAAGUCCUGUGUGAAAUCUUCGGGCUCAACUCGAAGUCUGCACGGGAAACUGCGGGGCUUGAGUGUGGGAGAGGUGAGUGGAAUUCCCGGUGUAGCGGUGAAAUGCGUAGAGAUCCGGAGGAAGACCGGUGGCGAAGGCGGCCUGCUGGGCAGUUUCUGACACUGAGGAGCGAAAGCGUGGGGAGCGAACAGG
This 253-nucleotide ribosomal RNA is filed under the name uncultured bacterium. RNAcentral describes it as "partial 16S ribosomal RNA". It matches the Rfam family "Bacterial small subunit ribosomal RNA", at positions 524 to 776 of the family's 1533-position model. The record is from RNAcentral.